RNAcentral lists this ribosomal RNA (190 nucleotides) under uncultured Glomeromycotina. Its description in RNAcentral is "partial 18S ribosomal RNA". It matches the Rfam family "Eukaryotic small subunit ribosomal RNA", at positions 686 to 873 of the family's 1831-position model. Lineage: Eukaryota; Fungi; Glomeromycota. The record is from RNAcentral.
GGUCUCACUGAUCCCUCCUUCCUGAUGAACCUUAAUGCCAUUAAUUUGGUGUUUUGGAGAAUUCGGACUGCUACUUUGAAAAAAUUAGAGUGUUUAAAGCAAGCUAACGCUUGAAUACAUUAGCAUGGAAUAAUGAAAUAGGACGUUCGAUCCUAUUUUGUUGGUUUCUAGGAUUGACGUAAUGAUUAAU